AUGCCGAAGGCCGGCAAGCGGCGCACAAGGGGGAACCCGGACACAGAGAGGGAAGCGAAGAAGAAGACGACGACGAGGAGAAGCGUGGCAGAGGAUCGAGGAUUGAUGUUCGCGGCCUUCGAGAGUGAAAAAGCCCAACCCCGACCAAAAUUAGAUCCUGUGUACGACGACGACGUUGCGGUCGAGUCCUCGUCGGAGGAAUCCUCGUCUCCACCUAGCCCUCUGAUGUACAGACCCUACAUACCCGAGGAGCUAGCUGAUGACCCGGACGUACGUGCCGCCUUCAAGCUCGCCAAAACCGAAUAUCAUGCAGAUAGAGCUUGUCGGUCAGCUGUCUUCGAUCACCACUCUUCUAGUUCGUGCCUGUCCAACGACAACCCACACCUUCUUCAUAUCCGUGAGGCUGCAAAGGAUGCAGUGCUUCUUGCCGCCGACUCUAUCAUCAGCCUCUCGUCAUUUCUCGACGCAGAUGACGAUGAGCCGUUGAAUACGUGUUGUGGUUUGUGGAUUCAACAUGACAUCAAAAAGAAAACCGCCGUGGUUUUGACGUCCGCGCAUCUGAUUCGCGCAAAGGAUCCAUCCAUCAGGAACCCGUGGAUGCUCGGGUCGACAUGCGAAUACCAUCGCGAGGCUGAGGUCAUUGUUCACUUGUUGGACGGCGAAACUGCAGUAGCCAGUCUCCUCUACCUCCAGGAGCACUAUGAAUUUGCUCUUUAUGAGGUUGUAGUGGACAAACCGGUUCAGUUGUCCACUUUUAACGACAACGUGCAUUCUGGUCAAGACGCUUUCCGACUUGGAAGAGAUGAAAGUCUUGAUCUAAGGAUAACACAUGGUAGGGUGGAAUAUAAAAUUCCAACCCGUCACGAGAGAGGUCACUACAUGUAUUUUUCCCACGAUGAGCAUAAAAGUUUGCAUGACGAUGGAGGCCCUGUCAUUGACUUAGACGGCAAGGUUGUGGGAAUGGUUCACAAUCAAUUCAAAGAGACCUUUUUACCUUCUUCUAUAUUGCACAAGUGCUUGGAUUCUUGGAGAAAGUUGAAGUGCAUCCCUCGUGCCCACCUUGGAAUGACCUUUACUCCCAUCAAGCUUCUAGAUCCUAUUUGUAUUGAGAGGAUGAGGCGUAAGCAUAACAUUGCAUCUGGUCUUCUUGUUGAACAGGUGUCAAAAGAAUCGAAUGCUGAGAAACUUGGAAUCCGCAUGGGUGAUGUUAUUGAACGCUUCAAUGGAGAGUGUAUUUCUAAUACAACUGAGUUGGAAAAGAUGUUGCUGGAUAUAGGCGGAGACCAUUUUGAUCAAGCAAAAGUCUUAAAGACCGAAACAGAUCUUCGAAUUCAAAUAUUUCGUGCCACAAAACGUUGCCGAAGAGUUAGAAAUUUGACCGUAACUGUAUCGGAUCGUGGAGAGGACAUCAUAGAAGGCACUUACCCUAUUACUGAUGGCCUUUGGAGAUGA
RNAcentral lists this ribosomal RNA (1452 nucleotides) under Triticum aestivum (bread wheat). Its description in RNAcentral is "partial small subunit ribosomal RNA". The record is from RNAcentral. Lineage: Eukaryota; Viridiplantae; Streptophyta; Magnoliopsida; Poales; Poaceae.